Homo sapiens (human) is the source of this 1561-nucleotide long non-coding RNA. RefSeq lists it as uncharacterized. NCBI's taxonomy places the organism in Eukaryota, Metazoa, Chordata, Mammalia, Primates, Hominidae. The record is from RefSeq and is a predicted model, not a curated record. The transcript has 2 exons.
UAGAGACGGCGUUUCACUGUUUUAGCCAGGAUGGUGUCGAUCUCCUGACCUCGUGAUCCGCCCGCCUCGGCCUCCCAAAGUGCUGGGAUUACAGGCGUGAGCCACCGCUCCCGGCCCAGAUGUCUGAUUGCUUUUACAACAAUUUAGAGCUGUAACAGAGGUCAGAGGAACGCGGGCAAAAGAAAAACAGAAAGGAGAGAAAGCUGUUAAAUUUCUGCUUAUCCCCUUCAUGACAAAUGGUUUGUUUUGGCGGUUGGUUGCACAAGGACUGUUAUGGGUUCCUUAUAAUUUCAGUCGCUCCUAUUUCACUGACUGUUCCCAUUAGCAUAAAUAAGACAAAAUGAACAAAUUCCCUCUGUCCCGAUGUCAUAAAUUCUGAAAGACAAAAACCAAAAUAAAAGAAUGCAAUUCAGUACAAGAGGACAAUGGAAGUGCUAGCAUUACUGACAACAAUGAUCUUACCUAGAGCAGUACUAAAAUAAUUUUUGCCCUAAAUGGUUCUUAAAGGAUUGAAGAGAAGCUGGACUGGCUAUACACACAAAUCAAAUAGGAUAUUUUAUAUUCAAAAAGGAAAGGAGGCUAACAUUUUAAAAUGACUACUGUGGGACAUACUUUGUCGCCAUGUUAUUUCAUUCAGCAUUCACAAUAAAAAAUAUUUUUUUUAUUUGUUGUUCCUUUUUAUUUGUUGAAGGAAAGACUAAGAAAAAGACAGUUUUCUUAAUCAGUCCUUUGCUUAAGGAUCGCUUAAGGCAACCCAAUUAAAUGGCAGAGCUAGUAAUUUAAUUCAGUCCUGCACGAUGUACUUCCUAAAGUGCCAUAUCCACUUAAAAUGGAAAAAGAAUGUAGGCAAACCUUGAAGCUUGGCAGGAGAAAGCAAGACGUAAAAAGACUUAGGAACUAGAGGAGUGAGUGAGAUGUAUAAUCCUUUGUUUUGUUUUAAUUUUGAAUAAGAGGAUUAAGGAAUAUUUUGUCUUGAUAUCCUUCUCUGAAACUGGUUAAAAAUAAAUGUUCUGUUCUUCAUAGAUGAAAACUGAAGGUAUCCUAAAUUGGCUGCACAGGCUUUCUGAUAGGCAGUAAGAUUUUCUUCCAUGACUCCUGGAUAACAAAAGACUCCCAGCUGACACGCCCUCAUCCCUGAUUAGAACUAUUUAAACCAUAAGGAAUCCCUAGAUGUUCCCCUGUAUUUGCUUCUACAGAUGUUAUUAAUUUUGCUUUUAUAUAGAAUCAAGACCUUUAUAAGUUAGUUUUAAGGGGUAGUGUUAGGUAGAGGUCAAGGUUAAAUUAAAAUUUUACUUGUUCCCUUUUUUGACAAAUAGUUUGAUUUGGACGCAGGUUGUAACAAGGACGGUCAUGGGUUAGAAACUUAGAAAGAUUACAUAACUUUUCAAAAGUCAUCACACUAUUAAGUAGAGGAGCCAGGACUAAUUGCAGGAAAUCUUUCUCUCUAAUCUGUGCUCUGGACCACUGAAAUUAACCCCUUUUCAAGGGAUUAUUGAAAUUAUGGUAAAUAAUUCACUGUUGUUACUGCUACCCUAUUAUAAAUUAAACUCAUGUAAACUUU